Molecule: ribosomal RNA, 419 nt
Filed under: uncultured bacterium
Lineage: Bacteria
Description: bacterial SSU rRNA
Rfam family: Bacterial small subunit ribosomal RNA
Source: RNAcentral
AGAGUUUGAUCCUGGCUCAGAAUGAACGUUGGCGGCGUGGAUUAGGCAUGCAAGUCGAACGAGAACCUCGCAAGAGGGGAAAGUGGCAAACGGCGUAGUAAGGCGUAGGUGACGUGCCCCGGGGUCCAGGAUAGCCAUGGGAAACCGUGGGUAAUACUGGAUGACCUCCUCAGAAAUAAAUAUUUGGGGAGCAAAGGUGUGAUUCCGUCCUGGGAGCGGCCUGCGUGGUAUUAGCUAGUUGGUGAGGUAACGGCUCACCAAGGCGACGAUGCCUAGGGGGUGUCAGCGCAUGACCCCCACGACUGGGACUGAGAUACUGCCCAGACACCUACGGGUGGCUGCAGUCGAGAAUCUUCGGCAAUGGGCGCAAGCCUGACCGAGCGACGCCGCGUGCGGGAUGAAGGCCCUUGGGUUGUAAA